CCUACGGGCGGCAGCAGUGAGGAAUAUUGGUCAAUGGGCGAGAGCCUGAACCAGCCAAGUCGCGUGAAGGAUGAAUGAUCUAUGGUUUGUAAACUUCUUUUAUAUAGGAAUAAAGUGAGGAACGUGUUCCUUUUUGUAUGUACCUUAUGAAUAAGCAUCGGCUAACUCCGUGCCAGCAGCCGCGGUAAUACGGAGGAUGCGAGCGUUAUCCGGAUUUAUUGGGUUUAAAGGGUGCGUAGGUGGUUAGUUAAGUCAGCGGUGAAAGUUUGUGGCUCAACCAUAAAAUUGCCGUUGAUACUGGUAGACUUGAGUACAUUUGAGGUAGGCGGAAUGCGUGGUGUAGCGGUGAAAUGCAUAGAUAUCACGAAGAACUCCGAUUGCGAAGGCAGCUUACUAAACUAUAACUGACACUGAAGCACGAAAGCGUGGGGAUCAAACAGGAUUAGAUACCCCAGUAGUC
Molecule: ribosomal RNA, 460 nt
Filed under: uncultured bacterium
Lineage: Bacteria
Description: partial 16S ribosomal RNA
Rfam family: Bacterial small subunit ribosomal RNA
Source: RNAcentral